UCCAGCCAAAAAAGUCGAAUUUAUGCUGUCUGGGGGUCCAACUCGUCGAGUGCAUGAACCAACACGGUGAUUUGGAUCGAUUUGAUCACUUUUUAGGCAUGGACUCGCCGAGUCUGAUGAUCAGACAGCAACAACUUCGAUUUUUUAAGCAGUUUUCCAUGUAUAACAAGAAAACAAGCCUAGGCACUAAUACCACUGUUGGGUUAUGAGCAUUCUAACACUCCUAAGUGUACAUGCAACCUUAAAUACCUNCCUAGGCUCUGAUACCACUGUUGGGUUUUGAGCAUUCUAACACUCCUAAGUGUACAUGCAACCCUAAAUACCUUGGAUCUAUGUUUUCUCUAUUAUACAUGCAAAUAAGAACUUCCAAGGUAUUAUCCUAAUCUAGCAUACAAAAACAAUGAAUGUAACAAGAUAGAAUACAUACCUCUUUGAUGUAGAAAGUCUUCAUGAAGCUUGAGUGCCUAGUGCCCCAAGUGUGACACCUCAAAUGGUUCACACAACACCAAGUACACAUGGAAUAACUUGAGAGAAAUCUACACUUCAUGAAAUCGGCUAGCCCUUCUAUUACUC
RNAcentral lists this long non-coding RNA (573 nucleotides) under Lactuca sativa (garden lettuce). RNAcentral's name for it is "long non-coding RNA (LSAT_LNC006821)". The record is from RNAcentral. Lineage: Eukaryota; Viridiplantae; Streptophyta; Magnoliopsida; Asterales; Asteraceae.